This 26-nucleotide small RNA is filed under the name Bombyx mori (domestic silkworm). Its description in RNAcentral is "ovarian small RNA-8522". The record is from RNAcentral. Lineage: Eukaryota; Metazoa; Arthropoda; Insecta; Lepidoptera; Bombycidae.
UGCAUGGUUGUGAGCAGACCGCGGGC